This 210-nucleotide ribosomal RNA is filed under the name uncultured bacterium. Its description in RNAcentral is "partial 16S ribosomal RNA". It matches the Rfam family "Bacterial small subunit ribosomal RNA", at positions 1283 to 1500 of the family's 1533-position model. The record is from RNAcentral.
CGGUCUCAGUUCGGAUUGGAGUCUGCAACCCGACUCCAUGAAGCUGGAUUCGCUAGUAGUCGCGCAUCAGCCAUGGCGCGGUGAAUACGUUCCCGGGCCUUGUACACACCGCCCGUCAAGCCAUGGGAGCCGGGAGUGCCUGAAGUGCGUGACCGCAAGGAGCGCCCUAAGGCAAGACCGGUGACUGGGGCUAAGUCGUAACAAGGUAUC